ACCACCACUGGUCUAUUCAAAUGGCAGCCAGCUUCCUUCUCCCUCUCACAAAGAGGAGAAGAAAAAGAAGAAGACAUCCCAGUCUGAGUUUCAGGUUCUCUAGGAAGUGAACAGGCCAGCUGGCCAACAUCUCCAUAAAAGAAGCUUAAAAUAGUUCUGCACGGAAAUCUCUCCCUCUCCCCCACUGGUGAUGUUAGUUUCCAGCUUCUCACGGGCUGCCAGAGGAAGCCAGUGAACCCCCCUCUCGCGAAGACAGCCUCCCAGCUAAGGCUGCAGCCUCCAGUCCUGGACAAGAGGCCCCUGGAAGGCUCUGCUCCCUCAGCCUGGACGGCUGCUGUUCCACUCAGGACUGGGGCCCUGGAUGAUCUACGCAGCCUGUCAGAUAUUUGCUUCCCUUCCAUGUACGUAGCUGUGUUUCAGUUGUGUCUAGAACUGAUUGUGCUUCCCAUUACAACUACUCUGGGGGGUGGGUCAUGAUUUUUGCAUGCAGUGGAGGCUGGGGAGAUGCCCCUACUGGCUUUUGCCCAUCUACCUGCAGGGAUUUCUCACAAGCCCCAGCUGCCUCUCCUGCCCCCCUUCCCCCACAGCUUUUCUUUUCUAAUGCUGAUGUUGCACAAUUGCACAUUCAUGGUGGACAUUUGGCUCAUUUUGCCUUGGAAGAGUUGCCACCUUUCUUGUCUAGCAGGGCUCCUGUGUCUCUGAUUGUAGCUCUGCAGGCAGAAAUCCAGCAAGGUCCUCUUUCCCCAUUGCCCCAUCCCUGCUACACCAGCUGCAUUUCUGCCUUUUGUCUAGCUGUCAGAGGCACAGGAUCCUGCGGUGGGGGGGGGGUGUUGGUUGGUUGGUAGGAGAAGCUCUCACCUCUCUCUCUGUAUUACAGAGACCUGGAAAGCAAAACUGGGUUGCGGCACAACUAGAGCCAAGUUUAUGAACUACAGAUGCUUAUCAUUGCUGCCCUGCAAUCCACCAUGUGUGCUCAAAGAGGAGCCCCCUCCCUGCCACAUCCUAGAAGAUUAAGCUGGUGCAACAGCCUCUGCAUCUUGCACCUGGUCUCAAGCCCUGCUCAGAACCAAGUCCAAGCCCUGGUGGGCUCCGUGACCAACUGCUCCAUUGCACAAUCACCUGUGAUAUCUAGGAAUGUCAUAUCAACAGACCACAAACAAAGCACAGCUUUCAAAAAACCUGCAUAUAUAUUAUAUAAUGCUGCCAAUUACCAAACAAAUAAAAUAUGAUAAAUCCA
Sphaerodactylus townsendi is the source of this 1237-nucleotide long non-coding RNA. RefSeq lists it as uncharacterized. Lineage: Eukaryota; Metazoa; Chordata; Lepidosauria; Squamata; Sphaerodactylidae. The record is from RefSeq and is a predicted model, not a curated record. The transcript is spliced from 2 exons.